This is a non-coding RNA of Phrynosoma platyrhinos (Desert horned lizard), 71 nucleotides long. The record is from the annotation of a GenBank genome assembly. NCBI's taxonomy places the organism in Eukaryota, Metazoa, Chordata, Lepidosauria, Squamata, Phrynosomatidae.
GCCAGUGUGGCAUAGUGAUUUGAGUGCUGGAUUACUACUCUGGAGACCAGGGUUCAAGACCCAGUUUGACC